GACGGAAGGGCACCACCAGGGGUGGAACCUGCGGCUUAAUUUGACUCAACACGGGGAAACUCACCAGGUCCAGACACAGUGAGGAUUGACAGAUUGAGAGCUCUUUCUUGAUUCUGUGGGUGGUGGUGCAUGGCCGUUCUUAGUUGGUGGAGUGAUUUGUCUGCUUAAUUGCGAUAACGAACGAGACCUUAACCUGCUAAAUAGCCCGUACUGCUUUGGCAGUUCGCCGGCUUCUUAGAGGGACUAUCGGCUCAAGCCGAUGGAAGUUUGAGUCAAUAACCGGUCUGUGAUGCCCUUAGAUGGCUUUGGACGCACGCGCGGUACACUGACUGAGCCAGCUAGUCUUUCCUUGGCCGGCAGGUCCGGGUAAUCAUGUUUAACUCUGUCGUGCUGGGGAUAGAGCAUGGCA
This 409-nucleotide ribosomal RNA is filed under the name Lomentospora prolificans. RNAcentral's name for it is "Scedosporium prolificans Eukaryotic small subunit ribosomal RNA". It matches the Rfam family "Eukaryotic small subunit ribosomal RNA", at positions 1155 to 1588 of the family's 1831-position model. Lineage: Eukaryota; Fungi; Ascomycota; Sordariomycetes; Microascales; Microascaceae. The record is from Rfam by way of RNAcentral.